Arachis ipaensis is the source of this 1865-nucleotide non-coding RNA. The record is from RefSeq and is a predicted model, not a curated record. Lineage: Eukaryota; Viridiplantae; Streptophyta; Magnoliopsida; Fabales; Fabaceae.
UAGGCUAAAACUAGUUGGUCGCUGAUUCAGUCGCUAUGCUAAGUUAGCGACCGAUUUUAGAGACCAAUUAUAAAAUGUUGUUUUAAAGAUGUUGGUUGCUAAAUUGGUCGCUAUUUUUAAAUUUAGCGACCAAUUCAGCGACAGAAAUACAAAAAUAGUGUUAUAAACUAAUCGGUCGCUAAAUCGCUCUCUAGUUAAAAUAAAAGGAAGUUACUGAGUUAAUCUAACCCUAACCUAGCCACACCAUCCUCAGAUCCCUCACACUUCUCACUAACCCUAAUGUGACUACCACCGGAAGCACAACACCCUCUCCAUUUGUGCCGUCCUCGCCGUCGCUGUCGUCGUCUACUGCUUGAAGCCUUCAACCUUCUUCGUCACUGGCUCACCGUCUCUCACCUUCUUCGUCACUGGCUCAUCGUCUCUCACCUUCUUCUUGCUGUCAAGCUCUUACGAUUUCUCUCACCUUGAUCUCGAUCUAACUUUAACAAUCUCUCUCACCUUGAUCUUGAUCUCACUCUCCGCUGCCGCUUCUAACUCACAUCGCCUUUCCUUAUUACUUCGUCGCAAGAAGAAAACAAGCAUACAAUUGUUGUUGCAAAACUUUGCUUCUUGUUGUUGCAUACAGUCUGAGGAAGGACUUGGUGCAGUAUGGAGAAUAUGAGUGCUUGCUGAACACCAUGGAAGUAUGUGUCAUUGAUGCCUGACCUGAGUUGUAUUGCACAGUUUGAAGGAGAGUUUUGAUGAGAAUUCACGGAGGGAUGAUGUUAAGGCUAUUGUUGUCACAAGUAUUGUAACAUGCUUCUGAGUUGAGUAACUUUUAUCUUGGAUGGAAUGACACUUUUAUUUUAUUUUAUUUUUCAAUUUUAUGAGAUAUCUUGGUCCUUAUGCCAAUAUAUACCCUUGUUAGUUUAUUGUUCCAAUCAUAUCUUCUUCUAAUCAUACUAGAGUUUUCUAAUUUGCUUUAGUUAGUGAGAUCCAUUUCUGAUGUUCUUUAGAAUAUCUUUGAAUGGUUUGGAGCAGCAGUGUAAUGUUGUUAAUUUAAAGGAGUAUUUUAAGUUACUUUGGCCAUUAUUAUAUGAAUAUCCGGGAUCACACAUUUAAUUUCUUUUGGUUCAAGACAUUCCUUCAUCUAUCUUUUUUAUGCUUAUUGCAUCAUGCAUGUGUGUUUACAUUAUAUAUGUUUACUCUAAGAUAAUUUUCAACCAGUUUCUACAGAAUAAUAACUGGCAUUUACGCUCAACUUCUAUUUGGGUUAUAGUUAAUCUCACUCUUCUUGAAAGUCCCAAUGCACUUGGUCAAAUUAUGAUUUUGCAUAGGCUUGGCAUAGUUUCUCAAAUACAGAGGAUGGUCAAUGAUUCUCACAUAGAUGUGAAGCUUCAUGCGAGACAUGCACUUGGGCAGAUUAUUACUUUUGGUGAUAGCUAAAUCUAAUAAAAUCAUGGGAUACAAUUCCUUUGGCACAUGCAAAAAUGGGAGAUUUCAAUAGAAAUUGUAUUCUUUUGUAUUCACAUCUUAUGUAUAUUGCAUCCUGCAUUCAAAAUCAGCUUUUAAUAUGGUGUAUCAAGUUGGAUUAGUUUUUCUUUUUUAACCAAUCAGAGCAGUGUGAAAAGCUUUUUGAUUCCAUAAGCACUCCUGACCACGUUACUUUCAGAAUCUCAUUUCCUUAACUGCACACAAUAUUAUGUGCUACUUUUUGUAAAUUAGAAUAUCAAUGUAGAUUUACAGGUUUAAUGUUGUAAGAUAUGAGUAGUAAAUGUACCAUAUACCAUGAAUAUGGAUUGUAGAUUGUAAGCCAACAAUAUACAUUUGGAUUGUGGAUCAUAAAUUUGAUAUAUUUAUGAAUUUGGUCUCUUUUAAUUUCUAUA